Molecule: long non-coding RNA, 2191 nt
Organism: Mus musculus (house mouse)
Lineage: Eukaryota; Metazoa; Chordata; Mammalia; Rodentia; Muridae
Product: predicted gene, 52381
Exons: 2
Source: RefSeq, a predicted model, not a curated record
UUGGCAUACCAAAUGUUUGCAGAGAAACAGACACACAUACAUGUUGAUUAUAGGCAAUGAAUGGCCAACAUAAACUCCCCACCCCCUUAAAACUCAGUCAUCCAUAGCUACAGAAACAACCCAUCCACAGCCCCAAAGGCACUGGAGACACACUCUCUCUCUCUCUCUCUCUCUCUCUCACACACACACACACACACACACACACACACACACACACACACACACUCACACCCCUGACUACCAAGGUGCUUGCCUGGUCCUAUUCAAGGCCCCCUUCCUUUUCUGCAGCCCUCCCUCCUCCCCUCCCCAGUUCUCCUGUCUCCUAGCCUCAGCCCCUAGCUCCCCAGGGUUCUCCAGGACAGUUGUUCAGAAGGACAAAGGCUUCCAGGUCUGAUUACAUCCAGCUGAAGAAACCUUUCUGUCUUAGGAUGGCCCCUUUCACUGGGAUCUGCUCUCCACACUUGGGGGUGGAUUAGAAGUACUUGCCAUGGCCCCCAGAGACACGUGCAGAUAAAAUCCCUUCCCUCACCUUUGGAUGCAACCUUCACACUCACAUCAACCUGCUUGGACAGGGGAGAGCAAGCAAUGCAGGAGGCAGAGGAGAAAAGAAGAACAAUGUAAAGAGACCCUGAACUGAGCACAAGUUGGGCAGGGCCUUUCAUGGAUGCGCGGCUCUACAGCCUUUCCGCCCCCGCUGCCUCCUUCCCAAAGACUUGUUUCCCAGAACCGCAGGCCUUCUCUCAGCAGCCUUCUCUUCUCUGAUGUCCUCCUGACAACUGGGGUUCUUGGGGGAGGCCUUCCUCAGAGAUGUCUAAUCUCCCGCGUGGGCCCUAGUUCUCCUGCAUGUCUACUGGAGUUUCGGCAGCCCUGGACAUCAUAGCUGAAGCCCGGGUCCCGGAUCUGCUGCCACUUCUGAGUCUCUGUAACACAUCGCCCUCUCCUGGGAGCAAGGUGAAUUUGCAGCACUGCCAACCAAGCUGCUGGAUCUGAGGACUCGGGAGGUGAAUCCACUGUCUCUGAAGGUCUUCCCCAGGUUUUGACAGUUUGGGUUACACGGACACACGUGGAGCCCGUAAAGCUAAGGGAUGCUCCAGGCAUGUGUGUGCAAGGAGGUCUCGUGGACCCCAGAUGGCUCUGAAAUAGCUGCAGCCUACGUCUCCUGUUCCAAUGCCCAGUCCACCACCUCCUUCUCCCCCUACCCCUCCUGUUAUUCAUUUUCCUCCUCUUCCUCUCGGCCACCUACACUGGGGACUGGCAGUGACAAUUUCAGUGACUGCUGUACAGUCACUGGAGAUGGUGGGACCCUGGUGGGAAAUAGCCUGGCCAGUGCUCCAUCUGAAGUGGCUUCACAGGAGAGCCCAGUAAGACACAGGUGGGAAAUGUCAGCCAGACACCAUGGAGAACAGGAAAGAGGGGUGAGGGAGAGCGGCCUUGACCCCCUUUCAGGGGGCGGGGGAUUGAUCUCAAUGGAGAAGGGGGUCUGGGGUAAGGCUGGCCUUCUCCAGAGGUUCCAGCCCCACCUUUGAGAUCCAGAUUUCGGGCACCGUUGGAAUGCUGCGUGACUGUGCGGGAGUCGAUCUUCAGUGUGUGCACGUUGCCUGGGUCCCUGGACACCACCACAUUGUGCCAUUGGUUGUCAUUGACUGGUUUGUCUGAGUUUCCCUUCAUCAAGGACGGGCCAUUUCCCAGGUCAAACACGUAGUGGAUGUACCUGCCCCACGGUAGGGAGGAAACACCAGAUCAGACGGGCACCACAGAGAUGCCAGGCGAGAAUGAGCUACUGCUGGCAGAAAAACCAGGGGCCUGGGGCAGAGGGGUAGACAAGGGAUCCCAUGGGAAGGGACCAAAAAAUGGCACUGGAAGCUUGAGGCAUGAAGUCUUGUCCCAGGGAGGUCACGGAAGCACUUGCUCUUGGCCCCCAAAAGAGGACCUGACAGAAGGGGAGUUUUGGUAAUACAGUAGGGGUCCCCUAGAAGCAGGGUCUGAACUACUUGAGGGCGCAAUUCUCCAGGGCAAGAGAAAGACUUGGCUGACUUCUGCCAUAAAGAGGACAGUGGCCAGAGAAGGGACGUGACUGGGAACCCUGGCAAGGAAGUGGCCGAGGAGCCAACAGCCCAGAAGCAGGGUUGGGCUUCUCCAUCUUGGCUGCAGAGGGACCCUCCUGGCUGAUGACUAAAGAUGUGGCUCUUGA